RNAcentral lists this ribosomal RNA (272 nucleotides) under Salmonella enterica subsp. enterica serovar Weltevreden. Its description in RNAcentral is "partial 23S ribosomal RNA". It matches the Rfam family "Bacterial large subunit ribosomal RNA", at positions 2036 to 2307 of the family's 2925-position model. Lineage: Bacteria; Pseudomonadati; Pseudomonadota; Gammaproteobacteria; Enterobacterales; Enterobacteriaceae. The record is from RNAcentral. RNAcentral also lists the same sequence under 4 other names.
GUGAAAUUGAACUCGCUGUGAAGAUGCAGUGUACCCGCGGCAAGACGGAAAGACCCCGUGAACCUUUACUAUAGCUUGACACUGAACAUUGAGCCUUGAUGUGUAGGAUAGGUGGGAGGCUUUGAAGUGUGGACGCCAGUCUGCAUGGAGCCGACCUUGAAAUACCACCCUUUAAUGUUUGAUGUUCUAACGUGGACCCGUGAUCCGGGUUGCGGACAGUGUCUGGUGGGUAGUUUGACUGGGGCGGUCUCCUCCUAAAGAGUAACGGAGGA